ACUCCUACGGGAGGCAGCAGUGGGGAAUUUUGCGCAAUGGGGGAAACCCUGAUCCAGCCAUGCCGCGUGAGUGAUGAAGGCCUUCGGGUUGUAAAGCUCUUUUGGCGGGGACGAUGAUGACGGUACCCGCAGAAUAAGCCCCGGCUAACUUCGUGCCAGCAGCCGCGGUAAUACGAAGGGGACUAGCGUUGUUCGGAAUCACUGGGCGUAAAGCGCACGUAGGCGGAUUUGUAAGUCAGGGGUGAAAUCCCGGGGCUCAACCUGGGAAUUGCAUUCGAGACUGCAUAGCUAGGGUGCGGAAGAGGGAAGCGGAAUUCCAGGUGUAGCGGUGAAAUGCGUAGAUAUCUGGAGGAACACCUGCGGCGAAGGCGGGUUGCUGGGCUGACACUGACGCUCAUGCACGAAAGCGUGGGGAGCAAACAGGAUUAGAUACCCUGGUAGUCCACGCCCUAAACGAUGACGACUAGUUGUUGGGGGAGUUAAAUCCCUUAGUAACGCAGCUAACGCGCGAAGUCGUCCGCCUGGGGAGUACGGUCGCAAGAUUAAAACUUAAAGGAAUUGACG
RNAcentral lists this ribosomal RNA (564 nucleotides) under uncultured Alphaproteobacteria bacterium. Its description in RNAcentral is "bacterial SSU rRNA". It matches the Rfam family "Bacterial small subunit ribosomal RNA", at positions 335 to 915 of the family's 1533-position model. The record is from RNAcentral. Lineage: Bacteria; Pseudomonadati; Pseudomonadota; Alphaproteobacteria.